CAACGGGAUUCACCUCCGAUUCUACGAGGCUUGAUGCGACCGGUUCGCUGGAUGCUGCCACAAGAUGGCUGGAAAAGCUGCCCCUUCUCUUCCGGUGCGAGCAUCAUCCGGGACUUCGAGCAGCGAACACAUUGGAGUAAUAUUCCACGUCUUCUGGGAGCUGAUGACUGCAGCAGCGCCACAGUCUGACCUCUUCUUUGGAAGGAAUUCCUCUGAUCGGAAAGGAAGGACGGAGAAAGAGAAGAAGAGGGAGUGAGGAAAUGUAGGCUGAUGUAACAGCCCCCUUGGCUGAAGGACUGAGGAAAAAAAGAAAAAAAAGUGUUUUUUUUUUUUACCUGACACUCAACACUUUUAGUGACAGAAAAACAUAAAGAAAGGAAGAAAAAACACAAAAAAGAGUCACAGCUUAUUUAAAUUUGAAUGUUGCUAAUUCAAUAAAGUUUGCUGAUUUUUUAA
This is a long non-coding RNA of Oryzias melastigma (Indian medaka), 456 nucleotides long. RefSeq lists it as uncharacterized. The record is from RefSeq and is a predicted model, not a curated record. Lineage: Eukaryota; Metazoa; Chordata; Actinopteri; Beloniformes; Adrianichthyidae. The transcript is spliced from 2 exons.